UGCAAGUGUCGUUUGCAAACUAGGCCCCGAGUCUGGCUUCUCGAAUGCUGAGUUUGCAUUCCCUGCCCUCAGACUCGCUCCAGCUGCACCACGAAUGGUUUAUUUCCCGGGACCACAGUGAAAUCUCGCUCCCGUCUGGCCUCCCUUGGCGGCUUCCUAAGACCGUGCAGCCUGCGCCUUUCUUAUUAAACGCGCCUGUCUUCCUCUCUCCCCAGUUUCACAUUCCUGGAAAGUAAAUAAAAGGGGCCCACACCCCAGUCGCCCAAUGGGUGAAGGCAGCAUGAGUGAUCCCUGAAUGUGCCCUUGGGCAUACUUAGCAAUUCAUUUUUGAUUAGGAGAAAGAAGACAGCCAUUCAUUUGAAAAGUUCUAGGACUACAGGCAUAUACAUCACGC
This is a long non-coding RNA of Heterocephalus glaber (naked mole-rat), 394 nucleotides long. Lineage: Eukaryota; Metazoa; Chordata; Mammalia; Rodentia; Bathyergidae. The record is from Ensembl.